CGGAGGUGCUGCAGAGGCGAAAUGGACCGGAGGUGCUGCAGAGGCGAGAUGGACCAGAGGUGCAAUGGACCAGAGAUGCUGCAGAGCCAGGAAACUGAGGCCUCGAAAGGAGAAGGGACCUGUCACACAUAAUGAGUGCACUGAAGUACUGGGUGGGUGCCAGGGGAAAGGAGCUGAGCGCUGCUGCCAGGCCACCUAGAAGCCAUGAGUAGAAACUUCAGGAAGGCAGAUCGUGCCUUGAUGUAAGACCUUCCCAAGGAUCCCAGCUGUUUAGGACUGGAAGGGACUGCUUUGGAAGGUGUAGACAAUGAGCUCCUUGUCACUGGAGGCAUUCAAGAAGGCGGGAGGUACCCUCUCUUCACGGAGACUUUGGAGGGCAUGAUUGCACUGGGAGAGAGGCUGCAGAGAUCCCGCCCGGCUCUGGCAUUCCAGGCUUGUGAGACCACAUUCGCCCUGCCCCGCUCCCCCCCCCCCCCAACAGACGCGUGUCCUGUCCUCUGCGGACGAAGCCUCUUUUCACCUGGGGAGGCUCUGCUGACUGGGAGGGAGGAAGAAGCUGCUUUCCUUGUCUCUCUGUCUCCCCCUCGUGUCCAGUACAGGAAUGAACAGGAGAAAGAUUGAGCUGA
Molecule: long non-coding RNA, 626 nt
Organism: Vombatus ursinus (common wombat)
Lineage: Eukaryota; Metazoa; Chordata; Mammalia; Diprotodontia; Vombatidae
Exons: 2
Source: RefSeq, a predicted model, not a curated record